This 222-nucleotide microRNA precursor is filed under the name Populus trichocarpa (black cottonwood). Its description in RNAcentral is "miR6446 stem-loop (ptc-MIR6446)". Lineage: Eukaryota; Viridiplantae; Streptophyta; Magnoliopsida; Malpighiales; Salicaceae. The record is from miRBase by way of RNAcentral.
CGCUUUCUUCCUUUAAAAAAUAUCAGUUCCAUCAUGAGGGCUCAGUAAACAACAUAAUUAACAUCCUACCAAGGAGCAAGAAGGCUAUUAGGAGGUCAAUUCCUUUACCUAGCGGAAGUGUUGUUUUGACAUGAGUGGCAUUUAUCUCGAUAGUCUUGGAUAGAAUUAUGCUGCUUGCUGGGUCCUGAUGAUGGAACUAGCAUUUUUUAAGGGAAGAAAACG